This 279-nucleotide unclassified non-coding RNA is filed under the name plant metagenome. RNAcentral's name for it is "partial contains small subunit ribosomal RNA, internal transcribed spacer 1, and 5.8S ribosomal RNA". The record is from RNAcentral.
UUUCCGUAGGUGAACCUGCGGAAGGAUCAUUACUGACUUUUGAAACUUCAUGAUCCUGUUUGCACGCCUCCUAAGCCGUGGGCACGCUUGUUGGCCCUUAUUUCUACCACUCUGCCCCAAUUGUAGACCUCUCAGUGGGCCUAUGUUGUUUUUCACAACCUCUGACUGUAAUAGAAUGGUUUUAAAUCUUGGUAAUUACUAAACAAAUUCCAGCAACGAAGCUCUUGGCUCUCCCAGCGAUGAAGAACGCAGCAGGUCGGCGGAGGACACCUCUGAACU